UACGGGGGGGGCAAGCGUUGUUCGGAAUUACUGGGCGUAAAGGGUUCGUAGGUGGCUUGCUCAGUCAGACGUGAAAUCCCUCAGCUUAACUGGGGAACUGCGUCUGAUACUAGCGAGCUUGAGUGCAGGAGAGGAACGCGGAAUUCCAGGUGUAGCGGUGAAAUGCGUAGAUAUCGGAAGGAACAUCAGUGGCGAAAGCGGCUUCCUGGACCAGUACCGACGUUCAGGCACGAAAGCGUGGGGAGCAAACAGG
This 253-nucleotide ribosomal RNA is filed under the name uncultured bacterium. RNAcentral describes it as "partial 16S ribosomal RNA". It matches the Rfam family "Bacterial small subunit ribosomal RNA", at positions 524 to 776 of the family's 1533-position model. The record is from RNAcentral.